GUUAAAACACAAAAUAGAGAUAGAUUUUCAAAUAUUUUAUUUACAAUGUCUUCUUUUCUUUAAGAUGUAAGCAUUUUUUGAUUCAUUCUCCUUAGUUAAAAGCUAGAAACGUUAAACUCCAAUCAAGAAAAUAGGAUAUCUGUGCAUGCUCUGAGAAACAAGGAAAUCACUGAGGGAAAUGCCUGAAUGGGAAAUCAAGGAGGGAGCAGAAGGCUGGGAGAGCUGUUACACUAUGGAAAACCGCUCCAAAAGGAAGAAGAGAAAGAAAACAGUUGUAUUAUUGAAUAAGCAUUAAAGCAGAAUCUGAUGCAUGUCACUUGCCAUGUAGAAUGGAAUUGCAAAAACAGAAAGAAAUCUCCCUCUUUUACAUGGUGAAGCAAAUACAUCUCCUUACAUCAUGUUCUCAAGAGUCCUGAGCUGUCUAUAAGAAGUCUGACAAAUCUGAGACCAGCCUGCUGUGAGGAAACCCAAGCCACAGGAAGAUGCCACCAGGAGGCAAUCUGGUCAACCAUUCCAACUGAGCCCAGACUUGGAAUCAUCCCAGUCCAUCAGGCCCAACCUGACUGACCAGCUUAUGGAGAAUCUGGUUAUGGAAAUGUUUACUGAGGGGGCAGCUUCAUGGACCAUAGACUUCGGAAGUCCAGGUAUGCAAUAGUAACUCAUCAUGCAGUCCUAGACACAGAAGCACUCCCUCCAGGUACAUCUACCCAGAAGGCAGAACUCAUAGCCCUCAUGAGAGCCCUGCAUCUUGGAGCUAAGAGCAAGGUAAUCAUUUAUACUGAUUCUGAGUAUGCCUUCUCUGUUUUGCAUGCAUAUGGCUAUAUAAAAAGAGAGAGGUCAUCUAACUUCAGGAAGAAGAAAUUAAACAUGCAGAAGAGAUACUGGCCUUAUUAG
RNAcentral lists this long non-coding RNA (894 nucleotides) under Equus caballus (horse). Its description in RNAcentral is "lncRNA (ENSECAG00000043833.1)". The record is from RNAcentral. Lineage: Eukaryota; Metazoa; Chordata; Mammalia; Perissodactyla; Equidae.